GAUGAAGAACGUAGCGAAAUGCGAUAAGUAAUGUGAAUUGCAGAAUUCAGUGAAUCAUCGAAUCUUUGAACGCACAUUGCGCCCGCCAGUAUUCUGACGGGCAUGCCUGUUCGAGCGUCAUUUCAACCAUCAAGCCCCCGGCUUGUGUUGGGGUCCUGCGGGCUGCUCGCAGGCCCUGAAAACCAGUGGCGGGCUCGCUAGUUACACCGAGCGCAGUAAUACAUCUUCGCUCAGGGCGUGCGGCGGGUUCUUGCCGUAAAACAACCCCUUAUAUCUCAAGGUUGACCUCGGAUCAGGUAGGAAUACCCGCUGAACUUAAGCAUAUCAAUAAGCGGAGGA
RNAcentral lists this unclassified non-coding RNA (339 nucleotides) under soil metagenome. RNAcentral's name for it is "partial contains 5.8S ribosomal RNA, internal transcribed spacer 2, and large subunit ribosomal RNA". The stretch from base 1 to 120 matches the Rfam family "5.8S ribosomal RNA", at positions 35 to 154 of the family's 154-position model. The record is from RNAcentral.